UGGGGAAUUUUGGACAAUGGGCGAAAGCCUGAUCCAGCAAUGCCGCGUGUGUGAAGAAGGCCUUCGGGUUGUAAAGCACUUUUGUCCGGAAAGAAAUCCUUGGCUCUAAUACAGUCGGGGGAUGACGGUACCGGAAGAAUAAGCACCGGCUAACUACGUGCCAGCAGCCGCGGUAAUACGUAGGGUGCAAGCGUUAAUCGGAAUUACUGGGCGUAAAGCGUGCGCAGGCGGUUUGCUAAGACCGAUGUGAAAUCCCCGGGCUCAACCUGGGAACUGCAUUGGUGACUGGCAGGCUAGAGUAUGGCAGAGGGGGGUAGAAUUCCACGUNUAGCAGUGAAAUGCGUAGAGAUGUGGAGGAAUACCGAUGGCGAAGGCAGCCCCCUGGGCAAUACUGACGCUCAUGCACGAAAGCGUGGGGAGCAAACAGGAUUAGAUACCCUGGUAGUCCACGCCCUAAACGAUGUCAACUAGUUGUUGGGGAUUCAUUUCCUUAGUAACGUAGCUAACGCGUGAAGUUGACCGCCUGGGGAGUACGUCGCAAGAUUAAAACUCAAAUGAAUUGACGGGGUCAUAGCUG
RNAcentral lists this ribosomal RNA (577 nucleotides) under uncultured bacterium. RNAcentral describes it as "partial 16S ribosomal RNA". It matches the Rfam family "Bacterial small subunit ribosomal RNA", at positions 355 to 932 of the family's 1533-position model. The record is from RNAcentral.